UGAUGGCAGCUGUUGAAUCGGGCAAGGUUAGGUGUGAAUAUCUUACUGAAAUAAAACAAAUUAGGAAUGAGGAAGCAAAACACUUGGAGGAUUUAGGCAUUUAUCCUUUGUUUUGGGUAUUAGAGGCUUUUGUGUUUUCAUGGUUCAGUCAGUUACAGUGGGUGGGUUUGCAUUGGUGUUAGAAAAUAAAACUGAAAGAAUAUCAGAUGUAUUCAAACUCUGGGACAGAAGUCUAGGUUAUUACAAAUUAGACCACUAACCUUCAAAAAAGGAUUCACCAGUUAGUGGUGACUGAAAUUACUGCGGUGGCACUUUAACAGUAAUCCUCUGAGAUGUAUUUUUGUUAUGAGAAAAGACUCCAUUUGGGUACAUCUUUUAUGCAAGACUAAUAGUUUUUUGGGAUUUUUAAAAAAUUGGUUUUACAAACUCUCAGUGAAUUGAGUUACAAGAAAGUGAUUCUAAAAAUAACGUCAGUAUGAUCUACUUUCAAAAUAAGGCCAUGCUAUAUAGCUUGGAGAUCAUGGCAUCAGAAUUCUGGUAUCAAAGAUUGGUGUAAUAUAAAGCUUCAAAUGGUUAAAACCUGUUCAUGCACGUGGUAUGUGAGGCGAUUUGCUAUUCUUAUGAGCAAAUACAUAGCAACUUGGCAGAGCAGAAAAAAUAAUAUAGUGGGUUAGUCAUAAACCACUUCUUCGUUUUAAUAUAAAUUAACAGAAGGCGAAUAAUCAAAUUACAAUUUAAUGUGGAACUCUUUUUUGAGUUUAUUGCUGUUUUAGCUUUUUGUGGGCCAUGUAGAAAUAAAUACUUACUUUACCUGUGGCUUGCUAUUUGGUAAAUACUGAGGUUUAGUUAUUACGAUAUUUUUACUAAUGCAAUAGUAUCUUUAGUCCUAUAGUACUGGCACAGCCUACUGUUAUUUUCAUAGAAAUAUUCCUGUAGGCAUGUGCUUAUGUAUUCUUAGCCUUUCUUUUUGUUAUGAAAAGCUUUGACUUUGAUGUGCUUAAUACAUUUCCUCUGAGUCAUAGUGAUAGUUGCCAAACGAUUGUUUCUGUUCUUUUUGGACUUGAUUCUAGUUCUGCAGUUGCUUCCUCCUAGGGGGUUGAAGUCCAUGAGCUUUUAUUAAGAUAAAUGUCAGUGAUUUCAAAUGGAUUUGCAUAAAAGAAGCCCUUAGUCUCUGGUAGAAUAGGUCAUGUGUAAUGUUUAGUUUUAAAGUAACAGUGGCUACAGGAAAUAGUAGAAGUAAAAGUUGUUGACCUUUUCUGCACAAUGGAAUUUCUACUUUUGAUUUCUCUUUUUUCCCUUUCUCUUAAAUACGGAAUAUUCUUGCAUCCAUAAGCCAGCAGUGAACUGAGCAGUCUCACUGGUCAUCUUCUGUUUAAAAAUAAAAUAAAAAAAAAAAAAAAGUUUCUCAUUCCCAAUUAAUGCAAUAUCUUGUUCUAGAAAUGACAUCAGGGCAAAAGAUGGUGAUCAUUGAUACACUUUCUAAAAAUAAACAUUGCCAAAGUGAAGAACUUAGAAUUCAGAAGGCUGAUCUUUGCAGCAGCUUCAAAACCAGUAACUUAUGUCUGUCCAAGCCAGGUAGAUAUCUUAGGCAGUUGUCAUGAUUUGGUGUCUUCAAUGGAGUAAUUACUCAUUUAUAUUAAAACUAGCUAGUAUCAGUUUAGUAGGUCAUGAUUAAUUUCAAGUUAAAAAAUAAUCUGCUACCAUAGUUCACAUAUUGCUGUAGGUGAGUGUUUUUUGUGUUUACAGUAAGCUGCAGUUUUUUUCUUUUUAUUAUUACACACUAUUGUUUGAUCAACAAUUAGAGGGAAAAUGAAUAUGUCUCAUAGCAUUAUUUUAGAAAUCUAGUUGCCUUCAAAAUUUUAGUUGUCAAACAGAGGUGUCUUCAGAGUUUAUAAUGCUCUUACUGGAUUUAAUGGGUUGAACUAUUCCUCUUUAAGAAUGGAGUCUGUAGGACUGGAGUUGAGCAAGGCAUUUGAGUAUGUACUUAAGCCCAUCCCUCUUCACUGAAGUAUUUGAGGGCAAGCAGAUGCUUUAGGGCUGGUUAGACUGCUGAGUCAAUGCUUGAAAUUCCAGGCAUCUCUUAUAUAUGAUGUGUUUUUCUGAACUUACUUUCAAUUCCUAAGAUUUUUUUCGCUGUUUUCUGCAAACUUACUGCAACUUUCUGCAGGAAAUAGGAAAUGUUUUUUCAAUUUCUUUAAUUAUAGUUUAGAGCUACUCAUUCAGGAGCAGAUAUAUAACACUAAUUUUCAGCAUUAGUGUUCGAAACAGGGUAUUUGAAAAUACAUGGGUACAAGUACUCAAGGACUCAGCCUUUUGCAGACUGACUUUGUUCUGACUUGUUGGAAACAUAGGACUGGAAAAUAAAACCUCUGUACUGAAUAUAAUGCAGCCAUCAGAUGGCUGUGUCACAAAGAUCUGAUAUAUUUGUCAAGUUCCCUUUAAAAGUAACCAGUCAUUAAGCUGUCCACCGAUGUUUGAAGUGUCCCUGCUGUGGGGUGAGUUGUCAUUUCCAUUAGCUGUAUGCUCUGACUGACUUGUGCUGCAUAUACUUUUACUUCAGGUGUUUCUGACUGACUCAGGAAACCAACUUUGUGAUUUUUAUGAAUACAUCAUAUAGCUUUGACACCUAUUAGCACAAGGGGGUAUGUAGAAAGGCUUUCAGACAGAUGCUUCCUGGAACUAAAGUUCCAGUGCACUUUUCAUUUUCAGCAGCAUUUUGUAAUGAAAAAUUAUUUCAGUAUUAGUUUCAGAAGCUCAAUGUAUGGUUAAGUUCAGAGUUUUCUUCUGGUUACUGCCCUCUAAUCUCAUUCUCUACAGCUGUCAGAUUGUACAGUGCGAAAAGGUUGUAAGCACCCUGAAACUCCAAUUGCUGAAUUGUUUUCCUCUGUAAAAUCUGAAAAAUAGAAGCUACGUUUUGGCUGAAACGUGUUGUGCUAAAGCAGUCUCAGUGCUUUUGGUCCGCUUACUUUAAUUCCUGCUGAGAGUAAGUGGAGUAAGCUUGCGUGUUCUGGAAUAUAACUUGCCGUGUUUAAUGUCUGAACUAUUUAAAAAUGAAUCAUGACUGAGAAGCCAAAAAAAAAUUAAACAAACCAGCAGAAAAUAGAAGAUAGGAGAAAAUGAGGAAUACUGUAUGCAUGCAGAUAUUUAUCAGCAGAAAUUAAAAAAAAAAUAGAGGUGGAGGGCAUACAGUCUAAAAUUGAGAACCAAAAAUUAAUACAGGGCAGUGAAGUAGAACAAGAGUUCCCAAUAUGCAAGAUGAAGGGCGUCCAUUUGUUUAGAGAUGGAAGGAGAAGAUGCAGAGAACAAAGGGCUACAAGGACAAAAUGUGAAAAACUUUCAAAACCUAGUAUAUUAAUGUCAUGCAAAAAGUGACAAAUCAAUUAAGGGACUUCAGGAAAGUCACCUGGAAGAAGUGGUGGGGAGCAGAUGAUUUGAGGUGCCAGGUGAGAGAAAAUUCUGGGAGGCUGCACUGUGUGAUGGGUGUGAACUGCAACAACGUUCUAGCCAGAAGUGGGAAAUGGACUAGGGCAAUAGGGAACAGAAGUGGCCAGUCUCAAAAGAAGCAGUGUUGUUCUGCUUUUAAAUAUGCUCAGGUUUUGCACGUAGAGUUGUUGCCAAAAACAAAUCAUGGGUCAAAAAGAGGAAGGAUUGAAGAAGAUCUGGCUGACUAGCUGUUGUGAGAGUUUGCAAGUUUUAAUCACAAAGGAGAAUAUGCUGCUGUAGAGACACAAAGAGGUAGUAUAGAGAAGGUUCAGGAUGAAAAGUGCACUCAGGUUUUCCUGUUAAGGCAAAUUAAGCCUUGUGUGAAGAUAUAUUGGGAAGGUGGUACAAGAUGCAGCACUGGACAAAAGAUUAGAAUAGAAGAUGUGAUAUAGAGGAGAGAUGGUGGGACACACCGUAAACAGAAGCCUGAUUGAAGAGAAGUGUGUAUGUGAACAUAGCCACAGAAAUAACUGGAGGCAUACUCUGUGCCCUGAUUUCUGGUCUGCUGAUGCUUUUGACCAGUGGCCUAAUAAAAGAAUUGGCUCUGCUAUUGUUGUUGCAUACUCUUAUCCAUUAUGGACCCGGGUAUCCAUGGAAAAGAUGUCUUUAUAAAAAUGAACACCUGGCGUGUGCUUCUGUUAAGGAAACAUUAGGAGGGGUGGGUCAGAUGAGUACUCUGUGUCUGUAAUUGUUUAUUAUAAGAAUGUCCCACUUUCUUAGCUAUAUCUUAGCUAUAAAUACUAAGAAGAGAGGAACAAGUAAAGGCUGUGUUUUCAAAUAUUUCCCCAGGAGCAGGUACUGAAUGCUAGAGCAUUCAUUUUGAAAAAGUGCUUUUGGCAACUGAAGGACCGUGUUCUGUAGCAUUUACCUUCUGUAAGAAUAAUGGAGGGCAUAAGUGAGGUUUAUGUGUGAACAUUUCUGUAGCAUGAACUCAGAAAUGGAAAAUUUACAGGGCUCUGUGAUGUACUGUUAUAUGAAUAAAUGUGUCUUAUCUUAUAGGCUGAAAAUGA
Molecule: long non-coding RNA, 4493 nt
Organism: Falco peregrinus (peregrine falcon)
Lineage: Eukaryota; Metazoa; Chordata; Aves; Falconiformes; Falconidae
Exons: 2
Source: RefSeq, a predicted model, not a curated record